CCUACGGGAGGCAGCAGUAGGGAAUAUUGCUCAAUGGGGGAAACCCUGAAGCAGCAACGCCGCGUGGAGGAUGAAGGUUUUCGGAUUGUAAACUCCUUUUGUUAGAGAAGAUAAUGACGGUAUCUAACGAAUAAGCACCGGCUAACUCCGUGCCAGCAGCCGCGGUAAUACGGAGGGUGCAAGCGUUACUCGGAAUCACAGGGCGUAAAGAGCGCGUAGGCGGGAUAGCAAGUCAGAUGUGAAAUCCUAGGGCUUAACCAUAGAACUGCAUUUGAAACUGUUAUUCUAGAGUAUGGGAGAGGUAGGUGGAAUUCUUGGUGUAGGGGUAAAAUCCGUAGAGAUCAAGAGGAAUACUCAUUGCGAAGGCGACCUGCUAGAACAUAACUGACGCUGAUGCGCGAAAGCGUGGGGAGCAAACAGGAUUAGAUACCCCAGUAGUC
RNAcentral lists this ribosomal RNA (440 nucleotides) under uncultured bacterium. RNAcentral's name for it is "partial 16S ribosomal RNA". It matches the Rfam family "Bacterial small subunit ribosomal RNA", at positions 338 to 795 of the family's 1533-position model. The record is from RNAcentral.